Molecule: RNA transcript, 12192 nt
Organism: Chelonia mydas (Green sea turtle)
Lineage: Eukaryota; Metazoa; Chordata; Testudines; Cheloniidae
Gene: KLF9
Gene name: Kruppel like factor 9
Exons: 2
Source: RefSeq, a predicted model, not a curated record
AGAGUUGAAUCACCCUCCCCGCUGACCAAUUGGUGGGGGGCUUGGAACCUUACGUGAUGGGAUUCUGCGAAAUUGUUACUGAGCAAGAGCAUGCCGGAACAGUGAGGAGCGGCAGGCGAGGGGGGAGUGAAUCAGGCAGUGGGCAGAGGGGGGGCAAGAGUCUUGUAGACCUGGAGCUUUGUCUGCUAUUUCAACAGAGCGUCUUGAUGAGUGGGUGAAUGUGCAGGGAAUUCUAACGAAGGCAAAGCGGCUGGGUGCAUCUCCUGAGCUCCUCCUGCGAUUUUUUUUUUUUGGGGGGGACACACCUUGGGUCCUUUUAAAACGCUGGAUUACUUGAAAUCACCACUAGUGACAGUAUUUCCAAGAGAGCCUUAUUAUAGCCUGUCAAUGUGCUUGUCAUUGGGAGUGAAUUGAAAUCUGGAGUUUCUGGUGAUCACGGGUAAGGGGUCUAGGAGUGCAAGAAGUCCCAGUGUAGCACCAGAUUGUGGAUGCUGCCUUUGGAGUCAUGGAUUGUUAUAUAAAGAUCAGUGGCUGAAUUCGACUCCUUGCUUGGAUACUAACGCACACCGCCCCACCCCCUCGCUACUGAUCUUGGAGGCUGAAGGCACCAGUGUGCUGAUUAAAAACCCCGGGGGGUACGACAGAGAAGUUUCGGUGCCUGAAUUUUGGUUCUCUUUCUUGGUGGUUACUCGUCUGCAAAAUGUCAGCAGUUGCCUACAUGGAUUUUGUUGCUGCUCAGUGUCUGGUUUCCAUUUCCAAUCGCUCUGUGGUACAGGAACAGGGGGCUCAGGAUGCAGAGCUACUGAAAAUGCCUGAUGAAGAAGUGACCAAGGACCUGAAUGACCCCAGGGAUGCCUGGAAGGAUUAUUGCACAUUGGUCACAAUUGCUAAAAGCUUGUUGGACCUGAACAAGUACAGACCCCUCCCAACCCCUUCCAUCUGCAGUGACAGUGUAGAAAGUCCAGAUGAGGAUGUAGGAUCAGACAGCGACGUGACCACUGAAUCUGGGUCGAGUCCUUCCCACAGCCCAGUGGAAAGACAGGAUUCUGGCAGUGUGCCCAGCUCUCUCUCUCUCCUCCACAGUGGAGUGCCUGCAAAGGGGAAACUAGCCACUGAAAAGAGACACAAGUGUCCAUACAGUGGAUGUGGCAAAGUCUAUGGAAAAUCCUCCCAUCUUAAAGCCCAUUACAGAGUGCAUACAGGUUAGCUGUGGUCUCUCAAUUGCAGAGGGGGCUGUGGGGGUUACCUCAGUGUUACAGAGCAGCAUUGGCUAUGCAACACUGAUUUUAAGUCAUGAACAUUAUCCUUGUUCUUAAAUGCUGCAAAUACAGACAAAUAUUAACGUUAAGGAAGUUGGUUGUCCUGGUUUGAACUCCUUAGAGAUUAUUUUACUAUUUAACCUGUUUUCCUCCCAUCCUCCAUUUUUGUCUCUCAUCCUUGUUGUUAUUAGCUAUGAAUGCAAUGGCUUUCUGGCUACAUUCAGUCUAUGAAAGCAUGGUAUGUUACUGAAAUUAUAUGGAAUGUUUAGGGUAGAGAGCAAAGGGUGUUCUAUGGGUUUGUCAUGUUGUUGAGAUUUUUUUUCUCUUCUCUGCAUCUGUAACACUGAGGUUUACAUGGAGAAGAUCAGGCCAGUAGAGGAGCUGUUCAGUCUAAAAAUGGUAUAGUCUGCUUCUAUGAGAGUAGCAAGAAUUAACCAAAAAUUGCAUGGAAGCUGCACGCCCUGUAUGCAGUAGGGCCUUUUAGGGACUGCUCAGUAUUCUUUUAGGCUUAUGCUUGUUGUUUUUUGUGCUUGCCAAGCUGGCUUUACAUUUGACCAGGAGUCUUCAGAGAGUUUUAAAAUAACACUGAAUAGUACAGCAUAGAAUUUUGACAAGAUAGUUAGUCGGAAGCUAACUCAUCAUCCCCUACUUACAAAGUCAGAUUUCAGAGACUCAUUUUAUUCAUCCUGUGUGUUAGGACUCGUCCCCAUGAGCUCUGCUGUAAGAUUAAGGGCGUGGUCAGUUUCUGAGGUCGUGGAUUGAUGACGAAUUUUACGAAUUCUCAUAAGGAAACCUGUAAAGUUUAACUCCUACAUAAAUCAGAAUAUGAAAGGUCUAGUAAUUAAUGAACUAAGAUCUGAAAAAUAGAGGAGGAGAAAGGCAGUGUAAACUCCACCUUUAGAAAUGUAACCAUCCUUGACAAGGCAAAUAUAUUUUGAUUAAUCAGCACACUGAAGGAAAGUUGUGAGGUGGUUAAUAUUUUAAUUUACAAAGAUUAUGAACUGGUAUACCUCUUAAUUCAGACUUGCUGGUAUAAGGCUACAGCACACUGGGUCCUAAAUUAUAUGACAGCCACCUUCAUUAUAACCAUUUAUAUUAUAACACUGCUUUUAGCAGACUCUUUUUGUGAAGGUAUUGAGCAAAUUUUUAAUGAGCAAAUGUUUUUAAGGAAAUGCUUGCCCCCCCCCCCCCCCACAUAAGCAUAGCAAGAAUAGAGGGGCAAAUUCUCUGCUGAUGUAAAUGGGCACACUUCCAUUGACUUCAAUGGAAUGUGGCCCAUAUUUUUAAAAUACAAGCACAUGAGUAUGAUACACACAAACUAGAAGGGCAGCUGCUUUUAAAGAUCAGAUGUUGGGUAAUUCUCAACCACUGUUCUUAACUUUCAAAGCUAAGUGCAUUCCAAAGCUUUACAAUUUUGUGUUUUGAUAGCACCUGUUCACCAUCAUUUUAAUCUGCUCCCAUGAGGGGACUGGAUGGCUCAAAAUACUAGUAAUAGGGGGUCACAGAGCUAUUCGUUUUUACAUCAUGAAUGCAAUAUAGGUCAGUAAUGGCCAAAGGUAAAUUACCAUUAUAUUAUGGCUGUUUGGUGGCCUAUGUGAAAUGAACUGGUAGUCUGAGUCUAGUUUCUGAUGACAUCACUCUCCCUUUCUAUCUCUUUCACACACAACAUAAACUCCAUCAUGACAAACUUGCAACGUUGUUGGCAAAAUCAGCAAAGAGACCAAGAACUGAAUGGACCUUGGGGGAAAUUUUCAAAAGCAUGUAAAUGAUGUAGGGCCCAAAUCCUUAAAGGUACCUAGGUGCCUAAGUCCACCAUUUAGGCACCACUGACACUUUCAAAGUUGCCAGUGAGCUGCCACCUAACCCCAUAGGUGCCUAAGUAUCCUAGCUGCCUUAGUUUCCGCUAGUCAGCAUUUGCAAAGCUACCCCACAGUUAAUGAGCUGCUCCAGCUCAAGCCAAAGCCCCAAAGUGAGAUUACAUGGGGGGUGCCUAUCUCAUCAGUGGGGCCUGAUCUGGUAGGCAUGCUCUGAACAUGUCUUAAGACCUGAUACUUGUCGGACCCCACAGCUGAAGGCAGGUCACCAACAGGUGGAAGGACAAAAGAGUGCCCAUACCAAAGAGACAUGGGGGCAUAGGGAAAUGUAUAAUGAGUGUGAGAAAGAUAUCAAGCGAGAACAGGGGAAAGAGACUGUUUUGGUUGAUAAGACCUGGUCUACCUAAGUGGCUGGUCUGGCUUAGGUGCCUAACUCCAGGAGAGGGCUCGUGGCUGAGGAGCCUGAGUGGUGGGAGGCACCUAUCUCUAGGCCACAUGCACCAGUUCAGCUACUUAGAUGCUUAAGCCCCAUCCCUCUCCUUAGCAUUUCACUCCUGGCUAGCCUAGACAACUCCCUGGUCAGCUGACUGGCUUCUGAAAAUCUCUUCCUUAAGUGCUUAACUCUCUCUAUGCAUUGUACAGGGAGCCUGAGUGGCUGGCUGCUUAGGGUUUCGGUGUUCAGAUGCUGAGUAGAGCAAUACCUAAAUACCUUCAAGGAUCUGGGCCUAAGUCCCAUGACUUCUAAUGGGACAUAUGCUCCUAAGUCAUUUGGGCACUUUUGAAAAUGUUACCCUUAACCUAACUUUUGACCCCCUCCAGGUAGCCUAUUUAGCCUGGGGGGAUGGGUCACAUUGACAGGGCAACAAAGACUAUUUCAUUGUCCAUGCUCUUCCUGUUCCAUAGAGGACAUCAGUCUCCAGUAGUGUCACAAUGGGGUUUUUCCACCAGGACUAAAUUCAUAAGACUGGAUUUGCUAAUAUGCACAAGCGGUUUAGCAGGUGAGGUAGUAUGGUAAAAUGUUAACCUAGCAGUAAAAAAAACAACCCCCAAAACUGCUAUAGUAAUUGAGAUGUCCACAGGCUCUCCUCAAAAACUGUAAACAUGGUAAUUGUAGGCCUUAUUUUUAUUUAAAUUGUCAUACAAGUCCUUUUAAUUCAAGUGUCUGAAUAAAACCAUUACCAUACAUGUAAAUUGCAAUAGGAGACACAAUACUGGUGCAUGGGGCUGUUUAAAAGUUGCUAUAAAUAAGAGUUGUGCAUAAGUGUAAAAGUAGAGAGUCAGAGGAAAUCAACAGCACCAGAAGUUGGAAGUUUACCUUCCAGUCAUAGCAUCUCUGUUGUAGGUUACUUUGUUCUUUUCUGAACUUUCUCUAACAGUGGUGGUGGAAAAAGAGGAGAUUUUUAUCACAGGAAGAUAUACCACAGGGCACUGCUGCAAUAGUUAUGCACUAAGAGCAGAUUUAUGAAAGAAAAUGGCUAAAUCUGAGUUACAGUUAAACUCCCAUUGAACAGGCUCUCCUUUUGGCCUAGCAAUACUGUACUACUUUGCAUUGCAAUGAGGAAGACCUGGUUUUGAUUACCUGUCUUGUGUUCUCCAUGCUGAAGGGCUAAUAAAGCAGCAUGCUUAGCUCAGGGAGAGCAGGUGAACAAGAAGAAUGGUUGUGUGUUAUUCAACAGCAAUCCCUAUGGUUAAUUAAGGAACCUCUCUGAUUGCCUGUGGGAGCAAGGAAAGGAAUGCAGUCGUGCUCAUCUUGUUGGGUUGGUAGUCAUUCCAUAGAACCUUAUGGAGAAGGGAAAGUCCACCUGAACUUCCAUUUAUAUCUUCCUAGUAAAGAACUUUGGGGAUAGAAUGUAGUCCUGAUUUUUAAGCCUCAACAAGUGAAGUUUGUGGGAGAAAAAUCAUUCCAUUUGCCCACUUCCAGCCCAUAGCUACAGACAGAAACUAGAGAAGAAGGGAAAGACAUUUGUCACAAAAGUAGGUUUUUUAUUUAAACUCUGUCUUUUAACCUACCCUAGGGCCUGUGUGGUAUCUGCCCAACCAUUUCCGGUCCAAUACUUACUCAGAACUAUGGUAACUAAAUGUAGGUGAAGAUUUGCAAAUUUCUGGCUUUCAAAAGACAGAGGAAAUCAUAGUAUCAUUUCCAGUUUGUUCCCAGAGCUCAGGUAUUCAUCCUAUUCUGAAGUAGACAUCAACUGGAAUAGCAUUUUGCAUGUUGACAUGCAAAUUAACAUACAACACUUUAGAACCUAACCCCCGCAUAAGAUGCGACUCCACUGUACUAGGUUUCCACUGGUAUCCACUUCAUAUGUGGCCUAGGUAAACCCGAUUCCACUUUGCUUCCAAUUUCCUAUCACCAGUAUUGUUAUAUCAAGUAGGUUUUAAAGUCCACGCAUGAGGCAAAAAUCGCGUAUAGUCAAAAUGAGAGAGAUGGAAGAAAGACAGAAUAAAAAAAGGGAGAAAGAAGACUUCAGCGUCGUUAUGCGCAAACCGGUGUGCCUCAGGAUGGCCAGGAGCAUUGUCUAUGAUCAGCAAUACUUUAAAGUCAAGUCCUUUCUCUUCGAAGUACCGCUUGACCUCCGGAAUGAAACACUUGUGGAACCAAUCCAGAAAUAAUGCUGCCGUCACCCAAGCCUUUUUAUUUGAUUGCCAGAACGCAGGCAGGAGAUUUUUGUUCUUGCCUUUUAGGGCACGGGGAUUUGCAGCCCUGUAGAGCAAGCCCGGCUUUAUUAAAUGCCCAGCUGCAUUGCCACAAAACAACACAGUCAUACGGUCUUUAGCUGCUUUGAAGCCAGCGGCUUGUCUUUCUGAUUUUGAAGUGUAAGUGCAGUUGGGCAUUUUUUUCCAGGAGAGCCCAGUCUCGUCAGCAUUAAAAACUUGUUUCAGAAGAUAGCCCUUUUCUUCUAUAAUUUUCUUUAAUUGUUCAGGGCAGGCUUUUGCUGCCUCUUCAUUGGCAGAUGCAGCUUCACCAGUAGUCUGCACGUUUUUGAGGCUGAAUCGGUUUUUAAAACUGUUAAGCCAGCCUUGGCUGGCUUUGAAUUCCUUCUCAUCAGAAGGCUGUCCCUCUUCGGCGGGAGAUUUGAACAGUGCGUAGAGGCUAAGAGUUUACGGUUCAUGUCUUCCAGCCAUAAGUUUAAUGCCUUUUCAGUUUUCACUAAAGUCUUAUCACGCACCUGGCUCAUCACCUUAGCAGUUAUUGGUGCACUUGAUGCCACGGCUUGACGAAUUUCUCUCUCGAAUCUUGAUGACACGCAUGCUAGAUUCGUUGCGGCCGUAUUUACGCGCCACGUUGGAGACCGACAUAGCGUCUCUCAAUAAGUCCAACACAGCCAGUUUUUCCUCCAGCAUUGGAACAGAUCGCUGUUUCUUCGGUUGAGCAUCAGAUGAAGUAGUUGGCUUGCAUUUAGGGGCCACGUUGUACGAAAAAUACAUAUCUUUAAACACUAGAAUCACAGCGCGGCGAGAUGCUCACCGGACCAGCAGGCAGCAAUCGAUCCAGUGGGGGUCAAUUUAUCACGUCUAGUCUAGAUGCGAUAAAUCGACCCCCCCGAGCGCUCUCCCGUCGACUCCUGUACAGUACUCCACCGCCGCGAGGAGUUGUUGUUUUUUGCCGAGUGCGUAUAGUUGAAUUCGCAUAAGUUAAAUGUGCGUAUGAUGCGACUCCACUGUAAAGGUUAAUGUUAAUAACAGUGUACCGCAGUUUUCAGUGAUUAAAUAACACCACAAAUAUUCAGCUAUAUUCUUGAGUAAUAAACUUUCAGCACUUUCCAGUGUGAACAGAGUUAACUUUAGCUGAUGGAAUAGUAAAUGAUACUCCUCAUCAAGAGGAUUACUUCAUGAAUGGGAGAACAGAAAAAGCUGGGUGUAGCCUCCACAGUUCACCCAAAAUCUGUACCUAUAAAUCACAGAUUACUCCAGUGCCAUCUUUGGAAGGGGAACAAAACAAGUAAGUCACUAAGGGAGAUCAAGACAGUACCCUGGGCACAUAGGAUUCUUGAACUCGGCACAUGAAUGUAAAAUACACAUGCCGGAUUUAAAGUCAUUCCAAGAGUGAUACAUUUCAUAGCCACAGUGAGGUAUUUCUUGAUUGGAUUGGCCAGGGACAUAUAUGACUACACGUUGUAGCGUUAACUAUCUUAAGUGACUGCUUCCUUCAUUCAUUUAAAAAAAUAAAACAAAACCCAUUCAUCUCCAUGAUUUCAUGAACCCUUAAGAUCAACCUGGCAUUUCUUAAUGUGAACUUGCUUUCCAGGGCAGAGAUUUGAUUUCUCACUACCUUUGCAGCCUUUAGCACUCUUAGUUAAAGUAGAUGCUCAUCAAUAGUUACUGCCAUCUUAAAUUUUUAAUAUUUAUCUUAUUCUCUAUCUUGAAAAAUGGUUUCAUAAUGUCUACUCAUUGUACCUAUGGUCUGUCUUUUAUUAAUACCCCGUUUCACCCAUGCAUAGCAACUAAACAAGUUCAAAAUGUUUAGUGACCACUCAUGUAUGUUGUAUUGCUGUGAAACUAAAAACACAUUGGCACAUCUUGUUCAGGCUGACAGAAGAUGAGGGAUGAAGUACCAAACUAAGUUACAAGAAGAGGGGGACUGCAUUAUCAGAGAUUUCUUUUAUCUCCUUAACUGCUCGUUCAAAACCAGCCCCUCUUGCAGAAACCAAAAGUAACCAUCUGAUGAUUGGUUGCCUAUGGCCUGCCUCAUGACUCCUGCUCAAAGCUAGCUUGAAAAUUAAUAUUUAAUUUUAGUGAUGUCUUGAGUUUUGGACUGAAACAUUAGUAAGAGCAAGAUUACUAUUAUAAAUUAUUUCUGGUAGCACCUAUGAAGUGCUUGGAACUUUCCAAAUAGAAGAGGAGGCCUGGCCAUGUUCCUCAAGGAACUCACAAUUUAAAGACUGUUUCUCUCUCUCUGUCCUGAGGAUAGGGAAAGGAUUCAAUACAUAUGCAAUUAUGUUUAGAAUGUGUAUACAAAUAUAAUAAAAAUAGGACAUGUAAAAUUAUACCCAGACUACUUCUCAGAGUUGUUGUUGUCAAUGGCAGCUUUCCCAUGAGCAUCAUGAUAAAGGUGUGUCUUCAGGAGAGACUUGAAUGUGACAAGGAUAUGGGUCUUCCAAAUGAACUCUAUAAGGCUAUUCCGUGCAUAGGGAAUAGCAUAGAAGGUACAGAACCAUAGGCGAUGCAGUUGCAGACAGAGGGGCAGUCAAGACUGAAGUCAUUGGUGCAGUGAAGAGGCCAGGUGGAAGUGGGUGGGGAUGGUUGAUUUAGAGUAGUACAGCGCAUUAGCUUGGAAAUACAGUCUCUUUGUUACCAAUUUAUAUUCUGAAUGAGGGUAGAGCUGGGGUUUAUAGCUUUUAAAAGUUUUUAAUAAAAAAAAUGGAAGGUGAAAGGAGGGUGUAAACAAGGAGGAUGAAAGAAAGCCAGUAAUUGGACAAAUGGCAAUUGGUGGUGAUGGUCUCCCCCAUGUGGCAAGAGAGGAUAUGGGCAGCAGCAUAGGUAUCAGGAGGCUAAUUCUGUGGGCUGUUACAGGAUUAGUAGAAGUCUACUCAGUUAGGGAACCCAGGCAGACCAGAGGUCCUGAGUGCUCUAUGUAGCAGAUGCACUUGCUCCUAAGAUUUGGCUGUAAACGCUUGUGCAUAUUAAAUAUUCAUAAUGAACAAGGAUUUCCCUGUAUUAUAAGUGCUUGGAAGAUAUAGAUCCCCUUGAGUGUGCUAUAAAAUGCAUGAGGUAUAUACAUUCUCUGCCUCCUCAAUAGGGCCUUAGAGGAACCCAUGUCAAUAUGUGAGUCAGAGCCAAUCCAACAGUGCAAGAGUUUUGUAACAAUACAACAGAAGCUAUGCCCUUGAACUCCUCCUUUGACAUUUUGCCUUUGGUGAUAUUCAGCAAUAGGUUAAGGGCAGAGACAUGGAGUCACAGAUCUGAGUUCUACUGUCCAGAGGGAAGGCAGGGAGCAGCAUUUCUGUCACAACAGAGACACAACUGAUGGAUGCUGCAACACAAACUGCAUCGUGAAUCCAGGCCCCUUAUUAGUUUAGGCUGCUCCUGACUGCAUUACUUUCCCAUUUAUUUUCUGAACUAUCCCUAGUUUCAGACAGUACAGAUGUGUAUAUUAAUGGGCAAAGUUUGGAGCAUUUUCUUGGUGCUUUUAAGUUUCAAAUGGAAACAAUCUGAAAUCUAACAUUUUAAGCUCCUUAUUCAGUACACGUUACACAGGUAGUGCAUUUAUAAUAUGGCUGAAGAUCAGAUAGCAGUGCUCAAAGGGCAUCUUGAUAAAAAUGUGUGAAACCAUUUUUCUCAGGGAUUUAUAAAAAUGUGAAAACUUGUAUUGUUACUUAAUGGACAUGUUCUCUAUCCAGGAGAAAAUUGUUUGUAAUAUUUGAUAAAAUUUGAUUACAUUGCUUGAAAGGCUACGAGGGUGAGCAAGUUAGGCAAAAAUCUCUCUCAUAUUUUCAAUAUGCUUUUUUUUUUAUAAAGAGAAUUAAGUAUUUGUUAAAUUUCACAUUUGGAAAACUACCAAAAAGUGUUAGUGGUCACAGCACCCCAUCAAAGCAAGGAAAAGCACAUUUAGAAGGGAAUCAGAACAACAAAGUGACCUUAUCUCAACUGCUUCACUUUAUCCUUUCACACCAAGAAUGUAACUCCUGUUGCCAGCAGAGGACAUAUUAGAAGAGCUGACUCUAAUGAGUUAUUGCACCCUGUUGUGCCUUGGUGCUGGAGAACACUUGGUAUAUUUCUUCCUAACCUGAUUUUGUCCGUUUGUGCGUGUAACCAUUAGGAUCACUGUGGGUGAGUACAUUCACCUUCAGUUCACUGCACUGCAAUACUGCACCAUCCUCACAUUCAUAAACUGACAGAGCUGCCAAACCUGAAAGAGAGGAAAGGGUUGGGGAAAACCAAGUUAAGUUUAAAUUGCCAAAUCCGAGGAUAGAAAGAACAGAGUCCAUUUCAAAAAAUCUUAUGAUUGUCUUAAUCCUGUGUUUAGAUGCCAGCCAAGCACUCUUGUGCGGGUAUGUUCUGGAAUGCCAUGCCGGCACUUUUUUGGGGGAGCCAGAAUGGCAUUCCAGUACCGCUGAUAACUGUAAAGUAAACCCAUGAUAGUGGUUAUUGCUUUCAUUCUUCACCUUGCACUAUACGUGGUCAGUGCGUAUGCAGCAAAAUGGUGCAUUCUGGCUCUUUUUUUUUUUUUUUUAAAUGCUUGAGAACUGAUGCUAAUUAUAGUGACUGGCACCCUAUAAAUACCUAAGCAAGAGAGUGUCUCAGGUUGUCCUGUUGAAUAGUCUAGCACACUUUACAUGAUGAAUAAUUAAUCAAUCAAUGGGGGAAUUCAUAGAUAAAAUGAAAACACCUUUUUUUGCUCCUGAACAUAGGGGCAACAGAUGUAAAUUGGUGCAGUCAAAGAUGUAUUGUAGGAAUCCUGCAGCAAUACUGAGCUUAAGUUUGGUGGUUAUGUGUAUGUUGUGGCUUUGGAUCUUACCCAUACUUGAGCAAUUUGGCAAGCUAACUGCCAUUUAAACCUCCCAGCACACCUGUCAUGUGUCUGCCCACAAAAUUACUAUCUACGGGGCACAGGAACAUAUCACACUGUGGGUUGUACUUGCUCCGAGCAAGGCUAGCUACUGUGUUGCCCACAUGACUGUGAGGCUCCAUUGGUACAGUGCCACUGUAGAUACAAAGAGGUGGUGCAAUCAGAAACUUCUAUGCCUAAACUCUGUACCGUUUUCUUUUUACUUCAUCAUCAUCUUAAUAAAAUUAUUAAAUCUCUAUGGUGCAAAUUGUCCUCCCAUCACUGUCCCACAGAGCACUAGCCACCACUUAGGGGGUUCUGUUUAGCCUAGUUCUUCUACCUUGCUGGUUCAGGAUCAAGUUUUCUGGAAGUCCCUUGCCUGUAUAAAUAGUACUGCAUACCUUCAAUCUCAUUUUGUGCUGUUUUUUGUCAGCCCCCUUAGCUUUGUGUGUUUCAGCAAGUCAAUUUUGGAACAAUUUCAGAAGGAAAAAGCUAUUGUGAAGGAAUGCUGUGAGCUGGCCAGAGGCAGAUACCCAGGUGCUUGUGAGAUUCAAUUGCAGUUGAACUCUAAUUAGGAAAACUUUGGAUUAUGACUGAGUGACGCAAAUAUAGUGCGUGGCAGGGAAUCACCCACUUGGGGGAAAGACAACACCAGGAGAAAAGUAAAAGGGCCACAAAAGGGCCUGAGAUAACUGAAGCCAGUCUGGGAUAAGGAGAAAAACCUGCCUUUUUUCUCCCCAGUGAAGUGGACAUUAUUUUUGGCACUCAUCCAUCUACAAAGCAUGAGAUACUUUGGAUGGCACUGUGACACCUAGCACCUGGGCCAUCAGGAGAAGAGGAAGGAGAAAUAUUCAUCAUAGCCCAGUCCAUGACAAGGGAUGUGGGCCAGGACCAGGAGGUGCCUGAGACCUUACCAGGAUUCCAAAACCUCUUUGGAGAAGCUCAAGAUCUGGCUACAGCAGCCAAACAGGUUGGGGUGGACGUAGGAGACAAAGGAGCACACAAGAGGGCCCGACUGCACCCAGGCCCAGUGUGGAAAUGCUGGCACAUCACAGAAUGGGACAGCAAAGGCAUCAGGAAUCACAAAUUAUUGAACAGUUGACCAUUUCACUGGAAGGAAAUGGAAAUGACUCAGAGGGGCAUGUAAAGGGACUCUGAUACAAUGUUUAGAUUCAAGAAGGAAAAAGCUGGUCGUUUUUUGGAAAGACAAGACCAAUUUAGGCAAGAGGACAGAAAGCCAAUGACUGAAUGUACAUGGCAUGAUGAUGAAAUGACGCUGCCGGAUCAAGAGGUCCACAGAAAACUUCAAAGAGAAUACAUGGAGAACCAAAGGCAGCUAGCACUAUUCUCCCAGCACCUGUUUGCAUUGUACAACCACCUUAGCAUGAUGCUAUGGUACAGAACUGCAGCCCAUACUGGACUGGCUCAUCCCUGUCUGCUCCCUCUGCUGUGUUCUCCUGGCACUCUGGUGGUGAACAGGACAAAGAACUGGAGUAUGCCAGACAUGCAUUUUAUGGCCCUAUAGCCCCGUAAACCAAAUUUGUGUGUGCUUGGUUUAUUUUUCUCUGGUUACUUAUUGGAGCUGUCCUGAAUGUUUGUGGUUUUAAAUAAAGUAAAAUUGCAUAAUUUA